RNA transcript from Triticum aestivum (bread wheat), 3197 nucleotides. RefSeq lists it as uncharacterized. NCBI's taxonomy places the organism in Eukaryota, Viridiplantae, Streptophyta, Magnoliopsida, Poales, Poaceae. The transcript has 4 exons. The record is from RefSeq and is a predicted model, not a curated record.
CGUGCGUCGGGGCAUGUGCGUUCGCUUUUGCUGCAGCGCAGAACGUGUUCCCUCCCAUCCUGAGCUCCUCCUCUCUUUCUCCUUUCUCAUCGUCAACCACCAAUCCGCUUUCUCGCUGCUUUGUCUCCGGCCGCCGGUAGCCGGCCUCCGGCCUCCCAGCCGCCCCAUCCCCACAACGAUGUUUCUCGAGGAGCAACGCGAGCGAGGCGAGCAGACGGAUUCCUCACUCGGAUGCCAGCGAGGAAGGCGGCUUGGAGCAGUCACCGUGACAUGUCUAUGGCUGCAUUUACGACGGGAUCGAAGCAAACGCCGCUCUUUUGUAUGUCCGUUCAAUCCUCCUCAGCCCCACCGAUGGCAUCCAUGACCUCGCAUCGCGUUGAUGCAGGCGCCGCCAUGGCUUUCAAGGUUGUGGAGAUCCCAGCAUGCAGUGGCUUGCUGACCUCGAGCACCACCCGCAACAACUCGUCUCUAAGGAACGACACAUCCGUGGCCGCGUCUCGCUGCUCCUCGUCUUGGGUGCGGGCUGAGGUUUGGAUGCUAUGUGCCAGAAUAUGGAAGUGCUGCGACCACUGUUGUCCCAGCUUGUGAGCUAUAAUGCUAAUUGGGCUUGUGAAAUUAAUUAUCCUUCUAUUGACUGGAUUAGGAAUACUUGCUCUUGCAUGUGACUUUUCACUACGUGAUUUGAGGAAGAUGUGUGGCCUUCAGACUCGGAGAAUUCUGGGUUUUCCAUUGAUCAUUUCUGCAGAGAUUGUCCUUCUGUGCAUUAUUUGGUAACCAUCUACUGCAGAUCAGCUAAUGCCCUGCAGCUUCUGCCCUUCAGGCAUGGAAAUACAUUUCAUAGGCAUAGCAAUGCUUAGUGUUUCACCCGAUGCAUUGACUUAAUAAAGUACACAGCCUGGUGAUCACUGAUUACUAUGGAUAUCAUAAGAGAAUAAUUUACAUCCAGACUGAACUCCAUGGCCGCAAAAUGUUCAUGGUUUCUUCAGCAUAUAUAUUCUCUAUACUAUGUAAUUCUCUGUUCAACCAAGUUAGCUUUGCAAGAGCAAAUAAAAGAUAAGUAUAGACUUUCAUAGAAAUAUUUCAUUGUUUAAUUUGGUGCUUCGCUGGUAAUCUCUAGAAUAUUUAAAUGUACGGCAAAAUUCUAGGUAUAUAUUGUCUAUGUUUCAAAUAAAUAUUUGGCCCACAUACUUUUGACAUUAUCUGUUCUCACAGAAGCCAUGAAAAUAUACAAACAACCCAUGUAAGCAGGAUUUUGUCUAAUUUUAUUAUGUUUCAUGCCAAUAAGUAGUUCUUCCUUCUCAUUAUCAAUUAAUAACUUGGUUACAAAGUAUGCGUGAAGAUUACUGCACCCACAUUAGCAAAAAAAAAAAGAGAUUACUGCACACAGAGAUUGCCUGGCAGACUAAAAUAAUUAUGGUUUGACCAUGUCAAAUUUUACGCUAAGCAAAUAUUUGCAUUUAGUACUUGGUUGAAAUGCUUGAUUUUCUUGGACACACACAUACACACACUACUUUUUCAAUUGUAUGCCUUUUAACAUGCUAAAUGAUUCUUCAAUAAUGGCUGCUUCCUGCUACACAUUGGUUGCAUCCAAACUGUGCAUAAUGUAUUAAUGUAUGAACCGAAGCUCAAAGUAAUAUCCAUACCGAUUGUAAAUUGGCUGCCAGUUCUCUUAUAUUCAAAUAAUCAGGGAAUCGAUCUUGCUAGAAGUAAUCAUUUAUGUGAUGAAUAUUUUCAGGAAACCUAUUACAAAGGUGGGGUCUUUCUAUUGUCUUUCACUGGCCAUAUGCAUCAUAAGAGUCUAGCCUGCAUCAAUGUGGAGUUGUGCUUGAAGUUUAAAGAGACCAGGCCCAGAAUGCAAAGGAGAUGGAAAAGUUUGACGACGUCUUUUUCGCUUUCAUGACUCAUCUACCUCAUGGUAUUUUAGAUCGUUUCUCGAGGGUUAUGGUCAUUUGUAAAAGGGAAGCCCGGUGCACGUGGCCUCCCGCUUGCGCAGGGUCUGGGGAAGGAUCCGACCGCUUUGGGUCUAUAGUACGCAGUCUUUUCCUACGUAUCUGUAAGAGACUAUUUCUAGGACUUGAACCUGUGCCCUCAUGGUCACAAGGCAAUAACUUUCUCGAGGGUUACGGUCAUUUGUACCAGACCAAAAAUCGUUUCACUAAUUUGGAGAUGUGAUCUUUCCAUUAUGCAGCUAAUAUAAGGGAAGUUUGAGUGAACUACGAAGCCAAAUAUAUAGCAUCAAAGAAAGGAAGGGGUGAGACCAUGAGAGAAAAUAAUAUCUUUUUUUGUUCCCAUAUCUUUCAGAAAGUCACAACUUGCUGUGGUGGAUGGGCAUAUGACAGACUCCCGUUAUGCCUUUUAUGUUGGUCCUGAAUGAAGUGUGAGCUAUCGUUAGAUUGUUUUCCUGGUACACAGUUGAUAUCUGCACUUACUACACAAUCAUCAUCAUGUUUUGCCGGUACAAAGUUGAUAUGUACACUUACUACACAAUCAUCAUGAUGUCCACCAAUGUUUAGAGCUGUCUGAAUCAUGUGAUUGCAAAGUAGGACUAAUACGGUAAUGAGUGGUAAAAUUGUUAAUCACCAAUGUUUUAUUUGUUGGUGUGUUAGGCACACAAGUAACUGGUUUAUCAUUUUUCACAAACCAAGCUGAGGCUUAGCUUCUGAUGUAUAUGGCCCCAACUCCAUAUUUUUAUUGUCAAGAAAAAUUAAGUACAAUGUUAAAUGUGCUGGUUCACAUGGCAAUUGCUCCAUUUCUUCAGAUAGGUCGUUUGGGUUUCAAACUACCGUGGAGAUAACUCAGCAGGCGAUCAACGUGGCACCUGUGGAGGCUGUGAGUGCUGUGAAUGGCGUCAGUCUUGUCAAACUUAUGGGCAGGAGCUCGGGCCACAUUACUUUUCAUGCCACCCUAAGCAGCCGAGAUGCUGGCUGCUAUUUGAACCCUGAGACUUAUUUCCACAUUGGAGGGGAGGAAGGCCUGUUUGAGUUCCUGAAUGAAAGGAUAAAGAAGAAGGGACAUGUUGUCAUCGUUGUUGUUGAAGGCGGUGAUCAGAAGUUGAUUCCCCGGACCGAUGACCAGAAAUGAGAGCAGGAUGAGUUUGACAACAUGUCGUUUCUUGCCGUUGGCCUUCUUCUAUAAAGUUUACAUGCAACUCUCCUGUAUGGUUAAAAAAACUACUAAUUGAAAUGUUGUUUCUUUGA